GAUGAAGAACGCAGCAAAAUGCGAUACUUGGUGUGAAUUGCAGAAUCCCGUGAACCAUCGAGUUUUUGAACGCAAGUUGCGCCCGAAGCCUUUUGGCCGAGGGCACGUCUGCCUGGGCGUCACGCAUCGCGUCGCCCCCCACAACUCUCCGUAAAGGGAACUUGUGUUUUGGGGGCGGAUAUUGGUCUCCCGUGCUCAUGGCGUGGUUGGCCGAAAUAGGAGUCCCUCCGGUGGACGCACGAACUAGUGGUGGUCGUAAAAACCCUCGUCUUUUGUUUCGUGCCGUUAGUCGCGAGGGAAACUCUUUAACAACCCAAAUGUGUCGUCUCUUGACGGCGCUUCGACCGCGACCCCAGGUCAGGCGGGACUACCCGCUGAGUUUAAGCAUAUCAAUAAGCGGAGG
Molecule: unclassified non-coding RNA, 403 nt
Filed under: soil metagenome
Description: partial contains 5.8S ribosomal RNA, internal transcribed spacer 2, and large subunit ribosomal RNA
Rfam family: 5.8S ribosomal RNA (bases 1-122)
Source: RNAcentral